UUUUGAUUGUUCUCUUUCUAGUUAAAUAACAUACUAAAAUAUCAUCACUUGGUUUCCGUUUCCACCUGUAGACGCUUUGACAGAGCUGUGAAGAAGUGGCAGUGUUUCCACCAUGACAUGAAGAAUUUUAGUCAGUGGCUAACUGACACAGAACAGAAUUUGGCUAGAGCACAAACAGGUACCAGGGACCCAGAUCAAGCCAAAAUAAAGCAGUACCUCAAGAACUAUAUUGGAAAUCUGUAUGCCUCAAGUCAAUGUUGAAAGAAGAAAAAGUGCCAAAAGCUAAGAGCAAAUUGUGAGUGCCCUACUCUGUUGGUACAUUCAGUUUUCUUUGUUACAUUUGUGUAAUGAUUAUCUGAGCCCCUUCUCCUGCAGAUGAAAUGGGUACUUACGCAGUUGUAAAUUUCAUCUAUUAAGGUCAUAUUUGUAUCUCAUUAAGACAUGAGGUAUUCGCCAUUGUCUUUUCCCCCCAUCCCAUUCCUGGGGUCCCAGAGCCCAGGUUCCAGCCCAAGCCCAAACAUCUAUAUUGCAAUUUUAUAGCCCUGUAGCCUGAACCCCGCAAGCCCUAGCCAGCUUACACAGGCAGCCACAAGUGUUUUAUUGCAGUGUAGAAUACCUAAGUGUGAGUCAGUUGUUCUUAAUAAUUAGCUAUUCAUUUUUGCAAAGUGAAUUGUCUAAAAGUCAUCUGGGGGGGGAGGGUGGGUUAUAUGCCAAAUGUCAUUGUAAAGUGUUACAAAGUGUAAUAGCCAUAGCUCUGCAUGCUAUUGCCUGCCAUUUGUGCCUCUAUGUAAAAUUAUUGUUCUAGGCUGACAUACCAUUUCUUUCUUUACAAUGCCAUAUCCCAUUCCAGCCCAUACUUACUAAGGCCUUGGUCCUGCAAACACUUACAUACAUGCCUAAUUUUAAUCCUCCCUCGUCAACAUGUUUGUUUCAGUAGUUCUUCCUCCUUAUUCUGGGGGGUCUUAGGAGAUUUCUCUUUUGGGACUUGAUACUGCAGCCAUUUACAUGUAUGAGUAACUUUAUUAACCUGAGUUACUCACAUGGGUAACUGGUUACAGUAAUGGGCCCUUAACUGAAUGACUGGCAAUGACCUAAAUUGACAUUCUUGAUAAGAAGGUGGCUAUUAGGCGAAUAAUUAUCCUACAUCUCCCACUAAAGCUACAGGACAAUGCUGGGUGAUGAACAAAUGGAUAUAAAUUGGCUAUAAAUAAAUUCAGGCUGGGAAUUAGAAGGUUUCUAGCC
This 1242-nucleotide long non-coding RNA is filed under the name Chrysemys picta bellii (western painted turtle). RNAcentral describes it as "lncRNA (ENSCPBG00000010859.1)". Lineage: Eukaryota; Metazoa; Chordata; Testudines; Emydidae. The record is from RNAcentral.